This 870-nucleotide ribosomal RNA is filed under the name uncultured Cantharellales. RNAcentral's name for it is "eukaryotic LSU rRNA". The stretch from base 309 to 870 matches the Rfam family "Eukaryotic large subunit ribosomal RNA", at positions 1 to 512 of the family's 3401-position model. The record is from RNAcentral. Lineage: Eukaryota; Fungi; Basidiomycota; Agaricomycetes; Cantharellales.
UGCAGUCCAAAACUUAUACGUGAACCAUCGAAUUGUUGAACGCAUUGCAUCGAUCCUUACCCAGGAACGAUAUGCCCCAUUGAGCGUCAUUAAGUCUUCGCGACCUCAACCUUUGUGUUGUUGUCCGGGUUCGGGAUUCACGGCCUUCACAGGUCGCGCUUCCUUAGAUUCAUUGCCGUGCAGGAUCAAACACUGAGCAUCCUUGUCAUAAAUGUCGAGGUCGCCAUAGAUGUAUGCUUGCACAAGAUCAGGUCCUUGACCGGCCAGAUCAAAACCGCGAAUCCUUACGGACAAGCGACUUUACUACAUGACCUCACGGGGGCAGGAUGACCCGCAAGACUUAAGCAUAUUAAUCAGCGGAGGAAAAGAAACUAACUAGGAUUCCCCCAGUAACUGCGAGUGAAGAGGGAAGAGCUCAAUGUGUGAAUCAGGCCGGGAUUAGCUCCUUGUUCGAGUUGUGCACUAUAGACGGCGGAUCAGCGUUUGGAAGCCUGUGGUGUAUGUCCGAUGAAACUCGGUGCCAUAGAGGGUCACAGUCCUGUACUUGCCUAAGGCUUCUGCGCAUUUGACCGACGCUUUUCGAGGCGCGUAGUUUUGUAUUGCUGCCCUAAUUGGGAGGUAGAGCCCUUCUAAAGCUAAAUAUGAUGGCAUGACCGAUAGCACACCAAGUAUCCGCGAGGGAAAGGUGAAAAGCACACCACGCAGAAUGGGUUGAAACAGCAGUGAAAGCGUUAUCUGGGAUAAGGGUUGGGGAUUGCUUGUGCCGAUUGCGCGUGCUUCAGUGCUGCGCUGCCGGACCGCACGCAUCGCAUGCGGAACGGGGAGAACCGGUUCCUUGGGAAUUCGGCCUGGAUCCGUCCCAGUGUUGUA